Molecule: ribosomal RNA, 1243 nt
Filed under: metagenome
Description: bacterial LSU rRNA
Rfam family: Bacterial large subunit ribosomal RNA
Source: RNAcentral
UGAAUACGAGACGCUAAGGCGUCGAAGUAGUGUAUGUCAUACUUCCAAGAAAAGCUUGCACUGUCAUAGAUAAAAAACGCCUGUACCAUAACCGACACAGGUGGGUAGGUAGAGUAUACUAAGGGGCGCGAGAUAACUCUCUCUAAGGAACUCGGCAAAAUAACUCCGUAACUUCGGGAGAAGGAGUGCCUUAUUCGUAAGGUUGCAAUAACAAGAUCCAAGCAACUGUUUAUCAAAAACACAGGUCUCCGCUAAGUCGUAAGACGAUGUAUGGGGGCUGACGCCUGCCCAGUGCCAGAAGGUUAAAGAAGUUGGUUAGCAAUUGCGAAGCUGAUAACUGAAGCCCUGGUGAACGGCGGCCGUAACAAUAACGGUCCUAAGGUAGCGAAAUUCCUUGUCGGGUAAGUUCCGACCCGCACGAAAGGCGUAAUGAUUUGGAUACUGUCUCGGAGAGGGGCUCGGUGAAAUAGACUUGUCUGUGAAGAUGCGGACUACCUGCACCAGGACAGAAAGACCCUAUGAAGCUUUACUGUAACUUGAAAUUGAAAUUGGACUUUAUUCGCGCAGUAUAGGUGGGAGGCGUUGAUUAUAAUCUUGUGGGAUUAUUGGAGCCAUCAGUGAGAUACCACUCUUGUAAUGUUAGAUUUCUAACUUUGAAUCAUUAUCUGGUCAAAGAACAGUUUCAGGCGGGCAGUUUGACUGGGGCGGUCGCCUCCUAAACGGUAACGGAGGCGUACAAAGGUUUCCUCUGAACGGUUAGAAAUCGUAUCUAGAGUGUAAAGGCAUAAGGAAGCUUGACUGUGAGACCUACAAGUCGAGCAGGGACGAAAGUCGGUCUUAGUGAUCUGACGGUACUGAGUGGAAAGGCCGUCACUCAACGGAUAAAAGUUACUCUAAGGAUAACAGGCUGAUCUCCCCCAAGAGUUCACAUCGACGGGGAGGUUUGGCACCUCGAUGUCGGCUCAUCGCAUCCUGGGGCGGUAGUACGUCCCAAGGGUUGGGCUGUUCGCCCAUGAAAGCGGUACGCGAGCUGGGUUCAGAACGUCGUGAGACAGUUCGGUCCAUAUCCGGUGUAGGCGUUAGAAUAUUGAGAGGAGCCUUCUUUAGUACGAGAGGACCGAGAAGGACAUACCUCUGGUGUACCAGUUAUCGUGCCAACGGUAAACGCUGGGUAGCUAUGUAUGGAGUGGAUAACCGCUGAAAGCAUCUAAGUGGGAAGCCCACCUCAAGAUAAGUAUUCUCA